This 636-nucleotide ribosomal RNA is filed under the name uncultured bacterium. RNAcentral describes it as "bacterial SSU rRNA". The stretch from base 1 to 540 matches the Rfam family "Bacterial small subunit ribosomal RNA", at positions 338 to 873 of the family's 1533-position model. The record is from RNAcentral.
CCUACGGGAGGCAGCAGUGGGGAAUUUUGGACAAUGGGCGCAAGCCUGAUCCAGCAAUGCCGCGUGAGUGAAGAAGGCCUUCGGGUUGUAAAGCUCUUUUGUCAGGGAAGAAACGGUUCGGGUUAAUACCUUAGGCUAAUGACGGUACCUGAAGAAUAAGCACCGGCUAACUACGUGCCAGCAGCCGCGGUAAUACGUAGGGUGCAAGCGUUAAUCGGAAUUACUGGGCGUAAAGCGUGCGCAGGCGGUUGUGCAAGACAGAUGUGAAAUCCCCGGGCUCAACCUGGGAAUUGCAUUUGUGACUGUACGGCUAGAGUGUGUCAGAGGGGGGUAGAAUUCCACGUGUAGCAGUGAAAUGCGUAGAGAUGUGGAGGAAUACCGAUGGCGAAGGCAGCCCCCUGGGAUAACACUGACGCUCAUGCACGAAAGCGUGGGGAGCAAACAGGAUUAGAUACCCUGGUAGUCCACGCCCUAAACGAUGUCUACUAGUUGUCGGUCUUUAUUGUAUUAGUACGUACAGCUACGCGUGAGUAGACCGCCGNGGGAGGUACGGUCGGUCGAGAAGUUAAACGUAACGUUAAAGUUAGUAAGUUAGACGGCGNGAGACGNGCCGACGGACGACGACGAGGGAGGAGG